GGUCCCCGUGGUGUAGUGGSUURACCAUGCCUGCCUGUCACGCAGGAGAUCGCGGGUUCGAUCCCCGUCGGGACCGCCA
This 79-nucleotide transfer RNA is filed under the name Anoxybacillus sp. KU2-6(11). RNAcentral's name for it is "tRNA-Asp". It matches the Rfam family "tRNA". Rfam says of the family: Transfer RNA (tRNA) molecules are approximately 80 nucleotides in length. Their secondary structure includes four short double-helical elements and three loops (D, anti-codon, and T loops). The record is from RNAcentral. Lineage: Bacteria; Bacillati; Bacillota; Bacilli; Caryophanales; Anoxybacillaceae.